This 197-nucleotide ribosomal RNA is filed under the name uncultured bacterium. Its description in RNAcentral is "partial 16S ribosomal RNA". It matches the Rfam family "Bacterial small subunit ribosomal RNA", at positions 335 to 524 of the family's 1533-position model. The record is from RNAcentral.
ACUCCUACGGGAGGCAGCAGUGGGGAAUAUUGGACAAUGGGCGAAAGCCUGAUCCAGCCAUGCCGCGUGUGUGAAGAAGGUCUUCGGAUUGUAAAGCACUUUAAGUUGGGAGGAAGGGCAUUAACCUAAUACGUUAGUGUUUUGACGUUACCGACAGAAUAAGCACCGGCUAACUUCGUGCCAGCAGCCGCGGUAAU